AUCACCUCCAUUCCUUGUUUUCUUUCUUUCCAUGACAGCUCCUUUAGGAAGAGGAUAUCUAUCUUGGGUUAUUCCGAAACAACAACCAUGAUGUCAUUUCUGUAUUUCAGGAAGACUGGCAGACAGUUGCUUUGAUUCUUCCUCAAAGUAUUCAUAUUCAGCUACAGUCCAAAAUUGCUUUUUCUUCAACGAGAUGUAUGGAAAAGACUCUGACAACAACUCUUGAAUACAAGUUUCUGAUAACUUCAAGAUCAUACCACUGGACUCUCUGAGAACUUUCAAAAUUUUAAUGAACAGGCUGAUACCUUCAAGAAAUUCAAGACAAAGAAGAAAAAAACCUCAGUUUUAUUGUACUAAAUAAUCAAAACAAUAACGUUUUCAUAAUUUUUUACUUGAAAAUGUGCUGAUUCUUUGAAUCUUUUCUUCUCCAGAUUUAUGAACUUUCUCUUUUAAGCUCUUUAUACUUCACAGCAAUUUACUAAAGUAUACUUUUGUGAACAAAAAUUGAAACAUUUGCUUUUGCUCCCAAUAUGAGUGCCCCAGAAUUGGGAAACUAUUCAUGAGGAUUCAUAUGCUUAUAGUAAUAAAGUUAUCUGCACAAGUUCAA
Molecule: non-coding RNA, 607 nt
Organism: Macaca mulatta (Rhesus monkey)
Lineage: Eukaryota; Metazoa; Chordata; Mammalia; Primates; Cercopithecidae
Source: RefSeq, a predicted model, not a curated record